GUGCUCACUUCAGCAGCAUAUAUAUAUACUAAAAUUGGAAUGAUACAGAGAAGAUUAACAUGGCCCCUGUGCAAGGAUAACAUGCAAAUUCAUGAAGCGUUCCGUAUUUUA
This 111-nucleotide small nuclear RNA is filed under the name Marmota marmota marmota (Alpine marmot). RNAcentral also lists the same sequence under 1 other name. Lineage: Eukaryota; Metazoa; Chordata; Mammalia; Rodentia; Sciuridae. The record is from RNAcentral.